GGAAAAGAUAAGUGCUGAAAGCAUCUAAGCACGAAACUUGCCCCGAGAUGAGUUCUCCCUGACCCUUUAAGGGUCCUGAAGGAACGUUGAAGACUACGACGUUGAUAGGUCGGGUGUGUAAGCGCAGUGAUGCGUUGAGCUAACCGAUACUAAUGAACCGUGAGGCUUAACCUU
This 174-nucleotide ribosomal RNA is filed under the name Enterobacter asburiae. Its description in RNAcentral is "partial 23S ribosomal RNA". It matches the Rfam family "Bacterial large subunit ribosomal RNA", at positions 2757 to 2925 of the family's 2925-position model. The record is from RNAcentral. Lineage: Bacteria; Pseudomonadati; Pseudomonadota; Gammaproteobacteria; Enterobacterales; Enterobacteriaceae.